AACGAACGCUGGCGGCAGGCCUAACACAUGCAAGUCGAGCGCCCAGCAAUGGGAGCGGCAGACGGGUGAGUAACACGUGGGAACCUUCCCUAUAGUACGGAAUAGCCCAGGGAAACUUGGAGUAAUACCGCAUACGCCCGAGAGGGGAAAGAUUUAUCGCUAUAGGAUGGGCCCGCGUAGGAUUAGCUAGUUGGUGAGGUAAUGGCUCACCAAGGCGACGAUCCUUAGCUGGUCUGAGAGGACGACCAGCCACACUGGGACUGAGACACGGCCCAGACUCCUACGGGAGGCAGCAGUGGGGAAUAUUGGACAAUGGGCGCAAGCCUGAUCCAGCCAUGCCGCGUGUGUGAAGAAGGCCUUAGGGUUGUAAAGCACUUUCGUCUGUGAAGAUAAUGACAGUAGCAGAAGAAGAAGCUCCGGCUAAAUUCGUGCCAGCAGCCGCGGUAAU
RNAcentral lists this ribosomal RNA (448 nucleotides) under uncultured bacterium. RNAcentral describes it as "bacterial SSU rRNA". It matches the Rfam family "Bacterial small subunit ribosomal RNA", at positions 29 to 524 of the family's 1533-position model. The record is from RNAcentral.